UCUGUAAGCCUGUGAAGGUGUGUCGUGAGGCAUGCUGGAGGUAUCAGAAGUGCGAAUGCUGACAUAAGUAACGAUAAAGCGGGUGAAAAGCCCGCUCGCCGGAAGACCAAGGGUUCCUGUCCAACGUUAAUCGGGGCAGGGUGAGUCGACCCCUAAGGCGAGGCCGAAAGGCGUAGUCGAUGGGAAACGGGUUAAUAUUCCCGUACUUGGUGUUACUGCGAAGGGGGGACGGAGAAGGCUAUGUUGGCCGGGCGACGGUUGUCCCGGUUUAAGCGUGUAGGUGUGUGUUCCAGGUAAAUCCGGUUCACUUUAACACUGAGGCGUGACGACGAGGCACUACGGUGCUGAAGCAACAAAUGCCCUGCUUCCAGGAAAAGCCUCUAAGCAUCAGGUAACAUCAAAUCGUACCCCAAACCGACACAGGUGGUCAGGUAGAGAAUACCAAGGCGCUUGAGAGAACUCGGGUGAAGGAACUAGGCAAAAUGGUGCCGUAACUUCGGGAGAAGGCACGCUGACACGUAGGUGAAGUGAUUUACUCAUGGAGCUGAAGUCAGUCGAAGAUACCAGCUGGCUGCAACUGUUUAUUAAAAACACAGCACUGUGCAAACACGAAAGUGGACGUAUACGGUGUGACGCCUGCCCGGUGCCGGAAGGUUAAUUGAUGGGGUCAGCGCAAGCGAAGCUCCUGAUCGAAGCCCCGGUAAACGGCGGCCGUAACUAUAACGGUCCUAAGGUAGCGAAAUUCCUUGUCGGGUAAGUUCCGACCUGCACGAAUGGCGUAAUGAUGGCCAGGCUGUCUCCACCCGAGACUCAGUGAAAUUGAACUCGCUGUGAAGAUGCAGUGUACCCGCGGCAAGACGGAAAGACCCCGUGAACCUUUACUAUAGCUUGACACUGAACAUUGAGCCUUGAUGUGUAGGAUAGGUGGGAGGCUUUGAAGUGUGGACGCCAGUCUGCAUGGAGCCGACCUUGAAAUACCACCCUUUAAUGUUUGAUGUUCUAACGUGGACCCGUGAUCCGGGUUGCGGACAGUGUCUGGUGGGUAGUUUGACUGGGGCGGUCUCCUCCUAAAGAGUAACGGAGGAGCACGAAGGUUGGCUAAUCCUGGUCGGACAUCAGGAGGUUAGUGCAAUGGCAUAAGCCAGCUUGACUGCGAGCGUGACGGCGCGAGCAGGUGCGAAAGCAGGUCAUAGUGAUCCGGUGGUUCUGAAUGGAAGGGCCAUCGCUCAACGGAUAAAAGGUACUCCGGGGAUAACAGGCUGAUACCGCCCAAGAGUUCAUAUCGACGGCGGUGUUUGGCACCUCGAUGUCGGCUCAUCACAUCCUGGGGCUGAAGUAGGUCCCAAGGGUAUGGCUGUUCGCCAUUUAAAGUGGUACGCGAGCUGGGUUUAGAACGUCGUGAGACAGUUCGGUCCCUAUCUGCCGUGGGCGCUGGAGAACUGAGGGGGGCUGCUCCUAGUACGAGAGGACCGGAGUGGACGCAUCACUGGUGUUCGGGUUGUCAUGCCAAUGGCACUGCCCGGUAGCUAAAUGCGGAAGAGAUAAGUGCUGAAAGCAUCUAAGCACGAAACUUGCCCCGAGAUGAGUUCU
Molecule: ribosomal RNA, 1590 nt
Filed under: Salmonella enterica subsp. enterica serovar Newport str. CVM 21539
Lineage: Bacteria; Pseudomonadati; Pseudomonadota; Gammaproteobacteria; Enterobacterales; Enterobacteriaceae
Description: bacterial LSU rRNA
Rfam family: Bacterial large subunit ribosomal RNA
Source: RNAcentral